Non-coding RNA from Arachis ipaensis, 1188 nucleotides. The record is from RefSeq and is a predicted model, not a curated record. NCBI's taxonomy places the organism in Eukaryota, Viridiplantae, Streptophyta, Magnoliopsida, Fabales, Fabaceae.
GAUAAUUAAGUAAUAUUUUUUUUUUAAAGUAAUUUCAAGGGAUUAAAUUAGAUUUCGAAUUAAUAAAAUAUACCCUAAUUUGAUUAGAAUUACCAAAUCCUAAUUAACCCAAAUAUUCCCAAAUUAAACCCUAAGCUUCCUAAUACUAACAGCACCGCCACCACCAUCCCAAAACCCUCAACCACUCACCCCUUUCACCAAAACAAAACAAAAAAAAAAAAAAGAGAAAAAGAAAGAAGAGGGAGAACAGAGAAGGGACAGAGAGGAGAGGGGGAAACUGAGAAGAAAAAGUGGGAAGAGAGUAAGAACGCGCUGGCGCGCGGAGGGUCUUGCUGCCGCCGUCGCCGCUAGUCCAGCCGCAUGCGAGAGAGAGAAGGUUCGCAGAUGAAAGGCGCAACGGGACGGAAGAGGACCCACGCCCUAUCGUCACCGUUCACGAGGGCCACGAGCCGCGUCGUUGUCGCUGAGGAAGGAAGGAGCACGAGCUUCCGUCACCAUCGUCGCCGGCGAUGCCGCGAAGAGGAGAGAGAGAGAGAUCGGGCAGAGGGAGAACGAUUCGCGCCGCCAGCUGCGUCCGCGGGAGGAAUCGCCGCCGUUCGUGUCUCCUGUCGCUGUCAGCUUCGCGCCGAGCUCCCAUGGCUGUCGCCGCUGAAGCCUUCACCGUCCUUGCCGCUGGAGCUGGUCACCGGAAGAGAGGAGGUGACGGUGGUGGGAGUUGCCGUUACUGUUCUAUCUCUGCUCAUUGAAGGAUGCUGAAAAAUGCUAUUGCAGUUGCAGAAGGACGCUCUUACCAUUCCAAACCCCAUCUGGUUCUAAUUUUAGUACUGACCCGAUUUGUUUAGGCUGGUUUCGGUUCUUCUGAGUGCUGGAAUUGCCGCCGCUGUUCCGUUUCCAUGGGUCCCCUAAUUACAAGUUGCUGUGCUUGCCGGGAGUUGUCACUGAAGCUGUUGGGCCCGCCGGGGUUGCACCCAGGUUGCUGCUGCGUCGCCGGAGACCACAGCUAAAGCCUCUGUCUUCUUGGGUUUCUAUUUUCGUGAGUUACUUAGUUAUAUGUCGUCGCCGAAACCAGGCCAGAUUUACUGGUAACUGUUUCUUCCUUUCUUGAAUUUGUUCUGCUUCUAUUUUGUUCCAGUAUUCUUAUUAUUGUUGGUGUCUCUGCUGCCUUAAUCGCUCGGAGUGAUGUUACUG